CGAAGUAGAGCAUAACUUUAAUGCAUCUCUUUUACACUGAGAAGAUAAUAUACUUAUAUUUACUUCGC
This 68-nucleotide transfer RNA is filed under the name Hyperhalosydna striata. RNAcentral's name for it is "tRNA-Val". Lineage: Eukaryota; Metazoa; Annelida; Polychaeta; Phyllodocida; Polynoidae. The record is from RNAcentral.